AUGUUCAUUGUGCCUCUGAAAGCCACUAGUGGACUUCUCCAAGAUGCUCAUAGCUUCCUCGGGAUCUUGCUCCUCCGUCCACUCUUGCCGAGACCUCACUUUGGCUGUCAGUCUGGAGACAAUGAAGGCAGGCGGAGGCUGGUCUUCUCUGGCGAAGGUGAAGGUGCUGCCUCUUCGGGAAGGACGGCAGAAGGGAAUUUGGAGUUUCUCGGUGCUCAGUUUCCUGCACCGAAAUGUCUCCGUCCCAGUACCCAGAGUCCUCCACUUUCCCUGUUAGGGCCCUGACUUGACACAGAAUAUUUGCUGAGGCUCCGCAUUUCGUCUUCACGGCAGCUCUAAAUGCCCUAGAAUUAGAUCCUUGCCCUGAUUCUCAGCACAGUCUUUCCCGAGGCUGCAGGAAAUAAAGAUUUCCUUUAAUACUGCCUUCGAGGGCA
RNAcentral lists this long non-coding RNA (434 nucleotides) under Ursus maritimus (polar bear). RNAcentral describes it as "lncRNA (ENSUMAG00000002725.1)". Lineage: Eukaryota; Metazoa; Chordata; Mammalia; Carnivora; Ursidae. The record is from RNAcentral.